RNAcentral lists this long non-coding RNA (825 nucleotides) under Vitis vinifera (wine grape). Its description in RNAcentral is "long non-coding RNA (VVIN_LNC007960)". Lineage: Eukaryota; Viridiplantae; Streptophyta; Magnoliopsida; Vitales; Vitaceae. The record is from RNAcentral.
CCAGAAUAUUUAAGACUCGAAGAAGGCAAAGAUCAUUCUAACAAUACCCCAAGAAUCAAGCUCAAAAUGUCACAAACUGAAGAAUUCAAUCAUCUGCCACACACCGCCCAAACUAUUCUCUACUGUAUGAAGAAAACUAGAUUGUUCAAUACUUUCAUCAGUCCUACUAGUGGUCCCAUAAUUCAAAUAGAUCUCAACUUUCAAGUGAUAGAGACUUGUAUACACCAACUUCAACAAGUUGUCCCUGGGUUCUUGCGUGGAAAUUAAUAUUGAAUUUGCUUGUAAGUCAGUAACAAAUACUUAACAAACAAGCUAACCCCUGUCAUAGACACAUAAUCUGAAAACAGAAUGAACAAAUCAAAAUGGGCCAUAAGCAGAAAAUUUUUCUACCAAAAGAAUAAAUAGAUGCAAAGUUUGUUGAAAUUGCAGAUAAUUGGGGCUCGAAUUUGCUAAAAAUGGAAAUUUUUUCACCAAUAAAAAAGCCAUAUAUGCUCACUAUUUCUAAUGCUGCUCGGAAAACUUGUUGAAGCGAAAUGCUCGAAAAAACAGGGGAUAGUAUGGAAAAGUGAGAAUAUUUUUAACACUUAUCAUCAAACAAACAAUAGUCAAAAUUUUGCCCCUUUCUUUUUCAUCCAUUUUCUUAGCAACCAAACAAAAUUUAAACAUAUAUGCAUUCAUAUAAGAAAUGGCUAAAGUUAUAGACCUGUUGAACAAGGCUAUUGAUUUCGUUAGGCGUCAUAAGGUCAGAGAAGUCGAGAUCAACGACGAUGUUCUGGCCGUGUUCUUUGGCAUUGGUAAGUCUCUGGACCUUCUUCUCCCUCUNNN